This 400-nucleotide ribosomal RNA is filed under the name uncultured bacterium. RNAcentral's name for it is "bacterial SSU rRNA". It matches the Rfam family "Bacterial small subunit ribosomal RNA", at positions 356 to 773 of the family's 1533-position model. The record is from RNAcentral.
GGGGAAUAUUGCGCAAUGGAGGAAACUCUGACGCAGCAACGCCGCGUGAAGGAAGAAGGCCUUCGGGUUGUAAACUUCUUUGAUCGGGGACGAAAAUGACGGUACCCGAGGAACAAGCCACGGCUAACUACGUGCCAGCAGCCGCGGUAAUACGUAGGUGGCGAGCGUUGUCCGGAAUUACUGGGUGUAAAGGGCGUGUAGGCGGGGGAGCAAGUCGGAUGUGAAAUCCCGAGGCUUAACUUCGGAGCUGCAUCUGAAACUGUUUCUCUUGAGUGCUGGAGAGGAAAGUGGAAUUCCCAGUGUAGCGGUGAAAUGCGUAGAGAUUGGGAGGAACACCAGUGGCGAAGGCGGCUUUCUGGACAGUAACUGACGCUGAGGCGCGAAAGCGUGGGGAGCAAAC